CCGGGACCUCCACCUUUCACGACUUAGCUAAACCUCCUGCCAUUAUUGCCUAAUUAAAAACUAAUUUCCAAAUAACCUAACCAUUCUCCAUUUAUUAGCUAAGGCCAUUAAUAUUGGUAUCAUCAUACCAAUCCUUACUUGCAAGUAUUAUCCAUAGCCAACCAUUUAUAGGUUUAAGGGGACUUUUAAGUGUCAUUCCAUUUACCAUAUUAAACCACUUGGGGGAUUCCAUGUGCCCCC
Molecule: long non-coding RNA, 240 nt
Filed under: Capsicum annuum
Lineage: Eukaryota; Viridiplantae; Streptophyta; Magnoliopsida; Solanales; Solanaceae
Description: long non-coding RNA (CANN_LNC006889)
Source: RNAcentral